GAUGAACGCUGGCGGCGUGCCUAAUACAUGCAAGUCGAGCGAACGGACGAGAAGCUUGCUUCUCUGAUGUUAGCGGCGGACGGGUGAGUAACACGUGGAUAACCUACCUAUAAGACUGGGAUAACUUCGGGAAACCGGAGCUAAUACCGGAUGAUAUUUUGAACCGCAUGGUUCAAAAGUGAAAGACGGUCUUGCUGUCACUUAUAGAUGGAUCCGCGCUGCAUUAGCUAGUUGGUAAGGUAACGGCUUACCAAGGCAACGAUGCAUAGCCGACCUGAGAGGGUGAUCGGCCACACUGGAACUGAGACACGGUCCAGACUCCUACGGGAGGCAGCAGUAGGGAAUCUUCCGCAAUGGGCGAAAGCCUGACGGAGCAACGCCGCGUGAGUGAUGAAGGUCUUCGGAUCGUAAAACUCCGUUAUUAGGGAAGAACAUAUGUGUAAGUAACUGUGCACAUCUUGACGGUACCUAAUCAGAAGGCCACGGCUAACUACGUG
This 497-nucleotide ribosomal RNA is filed under the name uncultured bacterium. Its description in RNAcentral is "partial 16S ribosomal RNA". It matches the Rfam family "Bacterial small subunit ribosomal RNA", at positions 28 to 507 of the family's 1533-position model. The record is from RNAcentral.